GAAGAGGGUUACAAAAGCAGAAAUCCCCUUGGACAAUUCAAAUCAAAGAUGAAGAACUGCUGCUCAUAACGCACGGCUGGAAUUGCUCCCACAUGCCAAGAAAGCACUGUCCUGCUGUGAUUUACUGGACGCUGCUAAACAGAGAUCUCUGGCUGGAAAACCCAAGGCUGGACGCUGAGCAGAUGGCAAUGGUGGCUGAGAUUUAUCGGAAAGGAGACGUUCUUGUCUUGGUGCAGCUCAUACUUUACGAGUGCUUGCCACCUUCUGGUUUGAGAAAGGAUUACAA
This 286-nucleotide long non-coding RNA is filed under the name Gallus gallus (chicken). Lineage: Eukaryota; Metazoa; Chordata; Aves; Galliformes; Phasianidae. The record is from RNAcentral.